AGUGCGACUGAUUAUGAUUCUUUGCGCGCACGGGUCCGUCUGUGUGUCUCUGUGUGAGUGAGUGAGUGAGUGCGUGCGUGCGUGUGUUUUUUUAUGAGCAGCGAAUCCGUCCCGAGUUUCCAAGCUAAAGUUGCAUGGAGACACGCCGCGUAAGACGCGUAUAAUAAAGAGGAUGGUGAGCAACAUAAAGGAACGAGGAGAGCGAGAACAACUUCUGCUGAGAAAGCGAACCUUUAAGAAAUAUUUAGCCCAUAAGAGAGAGGGGCACUGAAGCAGUUCGUUUGAAAAAAAAUCACUGCAGCGAUGAAUCGGAGGCGAGUCAGAUGGAGUUGGAGAGGCAAAAUUAAUGUACAUUACAUGCACUCCACGUAACGCUCCUGAGCGAUGUCUUUUCAGGGCUUCCUGCACUGGGCAGGACAGAACUUGAGGCAUCCAUCGUGUCAAGUACGGAGGGUGAAAUGAACAGCUCGACUCACAGAACGAUCCCAGACGGUGUUGCUCGUGACGUCACCGGCGUCAAAAUCUGCUGAUGACUGGAGGUCUAUGCAAAAGUGAGAUGUGACGUGAACUGACUGUGCUCCUCAUGGAAGGAGAGGGAAGGCUGACAGGCAUGGAAGUUGAUGGGGGGAAAAGGAGGGGUUUACCAAUAAACAAGGAUAAAAAUCUGGGAAAACGUUACCUUGUAUCCUGCACACAAGAUCAACGUCAAACCAACGUCUGUUAGACUGCUUUACACCUGUAAAUGGAUAUUCAGCAAGUUGAUUACUUUGUAGGAACAACAUAACAUCGUCAGGUAUUUGCAAUAUCUGUCUGUAAACUACUUGGGUUUAAUAAAUGACCUGGACUUGCUUACUUUGUCACGUGCACAGACGUCUGAGACGCAUGAGCUGUGAGACGUAAGGAAAUAUGAAAAUGAUAUAGUACGUAUUUGAGCUUUAAAAAAUGUUUACUUGCACAUAAAACCAUGUAUAGAUACAUUUGUUGUAAUUAUUUACCUAAAUGAGUGAAACUGUAUAGACAAGAUGCACGUGAACGCUUGUGUUGAGUUGUGUUGCUUUAAUUCUCAAAGACGUGAAGGCAAACACAGACUGAUUUAAUCUUAUUUGUUCUAAUUAAAUUAUAGCCUAUAUGUAGCUUCAAAUGGAAUUGUUGUGACUGUGAUAAUAAGAACGUGUGCGUAACGCGAGCGUCUGCGUCUGUAGACUUGUGUGAAAAUUACAGGCGCGUUUUUUUUUUAGCUUGUGGUGCUUUAUAAUUGUUAGGGUUACAUAUUUGUGAGAUCUUAAUAGUUUGUUUAACAUGUUGUAUGAAGCUGCAGACGGAGAGUUGGAGCUGUCAGGCGUUCGCUGUCCACUGCACGUUCUGCUGCUGCUAACGUAUCACUCCCACGGUCCAAAUGAGCUUAGGACUCAAAUAAUGCUGUUUUUUUUUUUAUUAGUUCUUUCGCUAGAU
Long non-coding RNA from Sinocyclocheilus anshuiensis, 1452 nucleotides. RefSeq lists it as uncharacterized. Lineage: Eukaryota; Metazoa; Chordata; Actinopteri; Cypriniformes; Cyprinidae. The record is from RefSeq and is a predicted model, not a curated record. The transcript has 5 exons.